Molecule: ribosomal RNA, 600 nt
Filed under: Fomitiporia sp. ap170
Lineage: Eukaryota; Fungi; Basidiomycota; Agaricomycetes; Hymenochaetales; Hymenochaetaceae
Description: eukaryotic LSU rRNA
Rfam family: 5.8S ribosomal RNA (bases 254-407)
Source: RNAcentral
AUGUGCUCGCCUUCACACUCUUCAUCCACUCAACCCCUGUGCACUUUAUCAGAGUUAGUAAUAGUAUUGUGGUGGCGGCCAUUUGUUGUUAUUCAUUGUUAGAAGCGGGGGUAACCCUGUCUGGCAAUAGUAAUGAUAAUAAUCUUGGUUCUACUACUACUACUACUAUGAACACUUUGACUUUUAUUUAUACAAACACUUUGCUUGUUCUUGUGAAUGUGUAAUGCUCCUUGUGAGCGAAAUACAAAUAUACAACUUUCAACAACGGAUCUCUUGGCUCUCGCAUCGAUGAAGAACGCAGCGAAAUGCGAUAAGUAAUGUGAAUUGCAGAAUUCAGUGAAUCAUCGAAUCUUUGAACGCACCUUGCGCCCCUUGGUAUUCCGAGGGGCAUGCCUGUUUGAGUGUCAUGUAAUUCUCAAUCCUCUUCUUCUUAACUGAAGAAAAGAGGCUUGGACUUGGAGGUAUACACAAGCUGGUACUGUUUGGUAUGGCUCCUCUCAAAUACAUUAGCUGGACUGUAGUUCGCAUUGUUUGGUGUAAUAGUUCUAUCUUAUUUCACUACAGUGCUUACUUAGACGGGUCUGCUUCUAAUAGUCCGCC